Molecule: ribosomal RNA, 468 nt
Filed under: uncultured bacterium
Lineage: Bacteria
Description: partial 16S ribosomal RNA
Rfam family: Bacterial small subunit ribosomal RNA
Source: RNAcentral
GACGAACGCUGGCGGCGGGCUUAACACAUGCAAGUCGAACGGAAAGACCCUGCUUUUGUGGGGUGCUCGAGUGGCGAACGGGUGAGUAACACGUGAGUAACCUGCCCUUGACUUUGGGAUAACUUCAGGAAACUGGGGCUAAUACCGGAUAGGAGCUCCUGCUGCAUGGUGGGGGUUGGAAAGUUUCGGCGGUUGGGGAUGGACUCGCGGCUUAUCAGCUUGUUGGUGGGGUAGUGGCUUACCAAGGCGUUGACGGGUAGCCGGCCUGAGAGGGUGACCGGCCACAUUGGGACUGAGAUACGGCCCAGACUCCUACGGGAGGCAGCAGUGGGGAAUAUUGCCCAAUGGGCGGAAGCCUUAUGCAGCAACGCCGCGUGCGGGAUGACGGCCUUCGGGUUGUAAACCGCUUUCGCCUGUGACGAAGCGUUAGUGACGGUAAUGGGUAAAGAAGCACCGGCUAACUACGUG